UUUUGCUUGCAAACUAAAGAUGGCGACCGGCGCACGGGUGAGUAACACGUAUCCAACCUGCCGAUAACUCGGGGAUAGCCUUUCGAAAGAAAGAUUAAUAUCCGAUAGUAUAUUAAAACCGCAUGGUUUUACUAUUAAAGAAUUUCGGUUAUCGAUGGGGGUGCGUUCCAUUAGUUUGUUGGCGGGGUAACGGCCCACCAAGACUACGAUGGAUAGGGGUUCUGAGAGGAAGGUCCCCCACAUUGGAACUGAGACACGGUCCAA
This 264-nucleotide ribosomal RNA is filed under the name uncultured bacterium. Its description in RNAcentral is "partial 16S ribosomal RNA". It matches the Rfam family "Bacterial small subunit ribosomal RNA", at positions 74 to 334 of the family's 1533-position model. The record is from RNAcentral.